UAGGGAAUCUUCCGCAAUGGGCGAAAGCCUGACGGAGCAACGCCGCGUGAGUGAUGAAGGUCUUCGGAUCGUAAAACUCUGUUAUUAGGGAAUAACAAAUGUUUAAGUAACUAUGCACGUCUUGACGGUACCUAAUCAGAAAGCCACGGCUAACUACGUGCCAGCAGCCGCGGUAAUACGUAGGUGGCAAGCGUUAUCCGGAAUUAUUGGGCGUAAAGCGCGCGUAGGCGGUUUUUUAAGUCUGAUGUGAAAGCCCACGGCUCAACCGUGGAGGGUAAUUGGAAACUGGAAAACUUGAGGGCAGAAGAGGAAAGUGGAAUUACAUGUGUAGCGGUGAAAUGCGCAGAGAUAUGGAGGAACAACAGGGGCGAAGGCGACUUUCUGGUCUGUAACAGAAGCUGAUGUGCGAAAGCGUGGGGAUCAAACAGG
Molecule: ribosomal RNA, 429 nt
Filed under: Actinomycetes bacterium
Lineage: Bacteria; Bacillati; Actinomycetota; Actinomycetes
Description: Actinobacteria bacterium partial 16S ribosomal RNA
Rfam family: Bacterial small subunit ribosomal RNA
Source: RNAcentral